GACGAACCGUGCAAACGUUGUUCGGAAUCACUGGGCUUAAAGGGCGCGUAGGCGGGUUCCCAAGUCGGUGGUGAAAUCUUUCAGCCUAACUGGAAAAGUGCCGCCGAUACUGGGAGUCUUGAGGGAGGUAGGGGUCGAGGGAACUGGUGGUGGAGCGGUGAAAUGCGUAGAUAUCACUAGGAACGCCGGUGGCGAAAGCGCUCGACUGGACCUCUUCUGACGCUGAGGCGCGAAAGCCAGGGGAGCAAACGGG
RNAcentral lists this ribosomal RNA (253 nucleotides) under uncultured bacterium. RNAcentral's name for it is "partial 16S ribosomal RNA". It matches the Rfam family "Bacterial small subunit ribosomal RNA", at positions 524 to 776 of the family's 1533-position model. The record is from RNAcentral.